This 301-nucleotide ribosomal RNA is filed under the name uncultured bacterium. RNAcentral describes it as "partial 16S ribosomal RNA". It matches the Rfam family "Bacterial small subunit ribosomal RNA", at positions 509 to 809 of the family's 1533-position model. The record is from RNAcentral.
CAGCAGCCGCGGUAACACAGAGGGUGCAAGCGUUAAUCGGAAUUACUGGGCGUAAAGCGCGCGUAGGUGGUUUGUUAAGUUGGAUGUGAAAUCCCCGGGCUCAACCUGGGAACUGCAUCCAAAACUGGCAAGCUAGAGUAUGGUAGAGGGUGGUGGAAUUUCCUGUGUAGCGGUGAAAUGCGUAGAUAUAGGAAGGAACACCAGUGGCGAAGGCGACCACCUGGACUGAUACUGACACUGAGGUGCGAAAGCGUGGGGAGCAAACAGGAUUAGAUACCCCCGUAGUCCCUGUCUCUUAUAA